ACUCCACCGCCGCCAUCAUCGAGA
RNAcentral lists this non-coding RNA (24 nucleotides) under Arabidopsis thaliana (thale cress). Lineage: Eukaryota; Viridiplantae; Streptophyta; Magnoliopsida; Brassicales; Brassicaceae. The record is from RNAcentral.